UACGAAGGGGGCGAGCGUUGUUCGGAAUUACUGGGCGUAAAGGGCGCGCAGGCGGCCCUCCAAGUCAGGCGUGAAAGCCCCGGGCUCAACCCGGGAAUAGCGCUUGAGACUGGGGGGCUUGAGUUCGGGAGAGGAGAGUGGAAUUCCCAGUGUAGAGGUGAAAUUCGUAGAUAUUGGGAAGAACACCGGUGGCGAAGGCGGCUCUCUGGACCGACACUGACGCUGAGGCGCGAAAGCGUGGGGAGCAAACAGG
RNAcentral lists this ribosomal RNA (253 nucleotides) under uncultured bacterium. Its description in RNAcentral is "partial 16S ribosomal RNA". It matches the Rfam family "Bacterial small subunit ribosomal RNA", at positions 524 to 776 of the family's 1533-position model. The record is from RNAcentral.